GGCCGGGCGACGGUUGUCCCGGUUUAAGCGUGUAGGCUGGUUUUCCAGGCAAAUCCGGAAAAUCAAGGCUGAGGCGUGAUGACGAGGCACUACGGUGCUGAAGCAACAAAUGCCCUGCUUCCAGGAAAAGCCUCUAAGCAUCAGGUAACAUCAAAUCGUACCCCAAACCGACACAGGUGGUCAGGUAGAGAAUACCAAGGCGCUUGAGAGAACUCGGGUGAAGGAACUAGGCAAAAUGGUGCCGUAACUUCGGGAGAAGGCACGCUGAUAUGUAGGUGAAGUGACUUGCUCAUGGAGCUGAAAUCAGUCGAAGAUACCAGCUGGCUGCAACUGUUUAUUAAAAACACAGCACUGUGCAAACACGAAAGUGGACGUAUACGGUGUGACGCCUGCCCGGUGCCGGAAGGUUAAUUGAUGGGGUUAUCCUCGCGGAGAAGCUCUUGAUCGAAGCCCCGGUAAACGGCGGCCGUAACUAUAACGGUCCUAAGGUAGCGAAAUUCCUUGUCGGGUAAGUUCCGACCUGCACGAAUGGCGUAAUGAUGGCCAGGCUGUCUCCACCCGAGACUCAGUGAAAUUGAACUCGCUGUGAAGAUGCAGUGUACCCGCGGCAAGACGGAAAGACCCCGUGAACCUUUACUAUAGCUUGACACUGAACACUGGUCCUUGAUGUGUAGGAUAGGUGGGAGGCUUUGAAGUGUGGACGCCAGUCUGCAUGGAGCCGCCCUUGAAAUACCACCCUUUAAUGGCUGGUGUUCUAACGUGGGCCCGUAAUCCGGGUUGCGGACAGUGUCUGGUGGGUAGUUUGACUGGGGCGGUCUCCUCCUAAAGAGUAACGGAGGAGCACGAAGGUCAGCUAAUCCUGGUCGGACAUCAGGAGGUUAGUGCAAUGGCAUAAGCUGGCUUGACUGCGAGCGUGACGGCGCGAGCAGGUGCGAAAGCAGGUCAUAGUGAUCCGGUGGUUCUGAAUGGAAGGGCCAUCGCUCAACGGAUAAAAGGUACUCCGGGGA
This 1007-nucleotide ribosomal RNA is filed under the name human gut metagenome. Its description in RNAcentral is "bacterial LSU rRNA". It matches the Rfam family "Bacterial large subunit ribosomal RNA", at positions 1489 to 2474 of the family's 2925-position model. The record is from RNAcentral.